This 253-nucleotide ribosomal RNA is filed under the name uncultured bacterium. RNAcentral's name for it is "partial 16S ribosomal RNA". It matches the Rfam family "Bacterial small subunit ribosomal RNA", at positions 524 to 776 of the family's 1533-position model. The record is from RNAcentral.
UACGUAGGGUGCGAGCGUUGUCCGGAAUUAUUGGGCGUAAAGGGCUCGUAGGCGGUCUGUUGCGUCGGGAGUGAAAACUCAGGGCUUAACCCUGAGCCUGCUUCCGAUACGGGCAGACUAGAGGUAUGCAGGGGAGAACGGAAUUCCUGGUGUAGCGGUGAAAUGCGCAGAUAUCAGGAGGAACACCAGCGGCGAAGGCGGCGCUCUGGGCCGGUACUGACACUGAGGAGCGAAAGCGUGGGUAGCAAACAGG